This is a non-coding RNA of Jatropha curcas, 606 nucleotides long. NCBI's taxonomy places the organism in Eukaryota, Viridiplantae, Streptophyta, Magnoliopsida, Malpighiales, Euphorbiaceae. The record is from RefSeq and is a predicted model, not a curated record.
UUGAGAUUGGGCUAAAGUGAAAUUUUGUUUCUCUAUCGUCACUUUAGGCUCCAUUCUUCAGAGUUAGGGAUUCUCGAUCUUCAUGAGUCAAAGGUGUUUGGUGGGCCAAAAUAAAGCGUGUGAAUAGGUGUUUGUCUUUGCAAAUCAUCAAAUAUAACUGAAGCUUCCUCAUGCUUUGAGGAUGGCUUUUCAUAAACAGAAGAGUUUUGAGCAUCCAAUGAAAUGAACCCCUACUGCUACUACUAGUACUGGUAUGCACAAAACUCUGUUUUAAAUACAAUGCAGUUCACCGACAAAAGGCACCAGAGACUAUCCUAUACACCCAAAUGCUGGGACUAACAGUAUAAAAGAAUCAUAUGUUGAUUCUAACAUGAUCUUUUUUUUUUCCUUUUACAGAGUUUUAUUCCUAAUAUUACAGUUGCCAGAAACCGAUUCCAGCAUCCAUAAAAUGCAUUACUGCCUGGACCUCGUCCUGAGAUCCUGCAGUACACGAGGUUUUUGAUACACUAGGGUAAAGGAAGAAAUGUUGGCAUCUUCCACAUUCCUCCUCGUUUGGAGCAACUCAUGACAUCUGACUUCUCUGGUGAGAACGACUAUGUAUGACCU